GAUGAACGCUGGCGGCGUGCCUAAUACAUGCAAGUCGAGCGAACGGACGAGAAGCUUGCUUCUCUGAUGUUAGCGGCGGACGGGUGAGUAACACGUGGAUAACCUACCUAUAAGACUGGGAUAACUACGGGAAACCGGAGCUAAUACCGGAUGAUAUUUUGAACCGCAUGGAUCAAAAGUGAAAGACGGUCUUGCUGUCACUUAUAGAUGGAUCCGCGCUGCAUUAGCUAGUUGGUAAGGUAACGGCUUACCAAGGCAACGAUGCAUAGCCGACCUGAGAGGGUGAUCGGCCACACUGGAACUGAGACACGGUCCAGACUCCUACGGGAGGCAGCAGUAGGGAAUCUUCCGCAAUGGGCGAAAGCCUGACGGAGCAACGCCGCGUGAGUGAUGAAGGUCUUCGGACCGUAAAACUCUGUUAUUAGGGAAGAACAUAUGUGUAAGUAACUGUGCACGUCUUGACGGUACCUAAUCAGAAAGCCACGGCUAACUACGUG
RNAcentral lists this ribosomal RNA (497 nucleotides) under uncultured bacterium. Its description in RNAcentral is "partial 16S ribosomal RNA". It matches the Rfam family "Bacterial small subunit ribosomal RNA", at positions 28 to 507 of the family's 1533-position model. The record is from RNAcentral.